AACGGGUGAGUAACACGUGAGUAACCUGCCCUCAGGAAGGGGAUAACCCUCCGAAAGGGGGGCUAAUACCCUAUAAUGUCAGUCACCACUAAGGUGGCUGACCAAAGGUGGCCUCUGCUCUGCAUGCUACCGCCUGAGGAGGGGCUCGCGGCCCAUCAGGUAGUUGGUGGGGUAACGGCCUACCAAGCCUAUGACGGGUAGCCGGCCUGAGAGGGUGUCCGGCCACAGUGGGACUGAGACACGGCCCACACCCCUACGGGGGGCAGCAGUGGGGAAUCGUGGGCAAUGGGCGAAAGCCUGACCCCGCGACGCCGCGUGGAGGAAGAAGCCCUUCGGGGUGUAAACUCCUGUCAGGGGGGAAGAUGCUCACAGAGGUGAAUAAUCUCUGUGGGUGACGGUACCCCCAGAGGAAGGGACGGCUAACUACGUGCCAGCAGCCGCGG
This 443-nucleotide ribosomal RNA is filed under the name uncultured Hydrogenobacter sp. RNAcentral describes it as "bacterial SSU rRNA". It matches the Rfam family "Bacterial small subunit ribosomal RNA", at positions 101 to 520 of the family's 1533-position model. Lineage: Bacteria; Pseudomonadati; Aquificota; Aquificia; Aquificales; Aquificaceae. The record is from RNAcentral.